ACAGUACAAACUGAACAGGCGGUAAACCUUUGGUUUUAGCGGCCGGGCCCAUCGGGCAGCAGAUUCGUAAAUAAACAUCUGCGGGACAGUA
The submitters of this non-coding RNA (91 nucleotides) gave its source as unclassified sequences. The record is from Rfam.